Molecule: long non-coding RNA, 459 nt
Organism: Panthera uncia (snow leopard)
Lineage: Eukaryota; Metazoa; Chordata; Mammalia; Carnivora; Felidae
Exons: 3
Source: RefSeq, a predicted model, not a curated record
AAUCCUUUCUUGGUCUUCAGCUGCGGACCCCCCACCGUCACCCCAAAACCUCAUCUCUGAGAGCUGUGUGCCCCCAGGGCACGUAGACUGCAUCCUGUGGUGGCUGGAUUCUUCGGGAGCCUCAGCUUUCAGGCAGGUACAAAAAACAAUGUGGCAGUAUGACAACUUCCGACUCGAUGCCCACCUCCCCACGACCCAUCACACCCACUUGACCCAUCCAAAGCCCACACCACCCCAAUAGACUCCCGCCACCUUUGGGAAAGGGUCACCCGAUCUGGAGAACGCUGGGGAAGUUACAUCUUAAGAAAGAAUCACAUUACAUACAGGAACAUUCAAGGACACAGUCACCAAGUUUUUACCCAGCGUAAAGAAUGCACCAAGCCCGGUGAUGCAGUCUCAGGAUGAAAGCUAGCGCUGGGGAAGGAGCUAGCCCCCCAUAUCUGGCGUGAGAACGUGGGG